RNAcentral lists this ribosomal RNA (1470 nucleotides) under uncultured bacterium. RNAcentral's name for it is "bacterial SSU rRNA". It matches the Rfam family "Bacterial small subunit ribosomal RNA". The record is from RNAcentral.
CCUGGCUCAGGAUGAACGCUAGCGGCAGGCUUAACACAUGCAAGUCGCGGGGCAGCGGGGGAUGAGCUUGCUCAUCCCGCCGGCGACCGGCGCACGGGUGAGUAACACGUAUGCAACCUGCCCCUGUCAGGGGGACAACCCACCGAAAGGUGGGCUAAACCCGCGUACAUCCGGAGGGGGCAUCCCCUUGGGAGGAAAGGAGCGAUCCGGACAGGGAUGGGCAUGCGGCGCAUUAGCUAGACGGCGGGGUAACGGCCCACCGUGGCGACGAUGCGUAGGGGUUCUGAGAGGAAGGCCCCCCACACUGGUACUGAGACACGGACCAGACUCCUACGGGAGGCAGCAGUGAGGAAUAUUGGUCAAUGGUCGGGAGACUGAACCAGCCAAGCCGCGUGAGGGAAGAAGGUACAGCGUAUCGUAAACCUCUUUUGCCGGGGAACAAGAGCUUCCACGAGUGGGAGUGUGAGCGUACCCGGANAAAAAGCAUCGGCUAACUCCGUGCCAGCAGCCGCGGUAAUACGGAGGAUGCGAGCGUUAUCCGGAUUUAUUGGGUUUAAAGGGUGCGUAGGCGGCGAGUUAAGUCAGCGGUAAAAGCCCGGGGCUCAACCCCGGCCCGCCGUUGAAACUGGCUGGCUUGAGUUGGGGAAAGGCAGGCGGAAUGCGCGGUGUAGCGGUGAAAUGCAUAGAUAUCGCGCANAACCCCGAUUGCGAAGGCAGCCUGCCGGCCCCACACUGACGCUGAGGCACGAAAGCGUGGGUAUCGAACAGGAUUAGAUACCCUGGUAGUCCACGCAGUAAACGAUGAAUGCUUGCUGUCCGGGGGGAUUUGCCCCUGGGGGGGCGCAGCGAAAGCGAUAAGCAUUCCACCUGGGGAGUACGCCGGCAACGGUGAAACUCAAAGGAAUUGACGGGGGCCCGCACAAGCGGAGGAACAUGUGGUUUAAUUCGAUGAUACGCGAGGAACCUUACCCGGGCUCAAACGGGAGACGCCGCAGGCAGAGACGCCUGUUUCCUUAGGGACGUCUUCCGAGGUGCUGCAUGGUUGUCGUCAGCUCGUGCCGUGAGGUGUCGGCUUAAGUGCCAUAACGAGCGCAACCCCCGCGGGCAGUUGCUAACAGGUUAAGCUGAGGACUCUGCCCGGACUGCCGGCGCAAGCCGCGAGGAAGGCGGGGAUGACGUCAAAUCAGCACGGCCCUUACGUCCGGGGCGACACACGUGUUACAAUGGGCGGUACAGCGGGAAGCCAGGCGGCGACGCCGAGCGGAACCCGAAAGCCGUUCUCAGUUCGGAUCGGAGUCUGCAACCCGACUCCGUGAAGCUGGAUUCGCUAGUAAUCGCGCAUCAGCCAUGGCGCGGUGAAUACGUUCCCGGGCCUUGUACACACCGCCCGUCAAGCCAUGGGAGCCGGGGGUGCUUGAAGUGCGUCGCCGCGAGGCGCGCCCUAGAGCAAAACCGGUGACUGGGGNUAAG